This 566-nucleotide long non-coding RNA is filed under the name Androctonus crassicauda. The record is from RNAcentral. Lineage: Eukaryota; Metazoa; Arthropoda; Arachnida; Scorpiones; Buthidae.
AGUAUGGCUUGAAGUUGAAGAUAGACCAACUGUGUAGUGAUAGGGUCCACUUCCUGGACAUGCGGAUAGAAAAGAGAGGGGGAAGGAUUGAAACAUCAGUGUAUCGUAAACCUACUUAUGAAGUGGUCUUGAUACCGAGAGGUCCAACGACCGGAUGGCUUAUAAGAAGUCGGCAUUCCGGGCUUUAUACCGUAGAGCGUUAUUGUAUCGUACUACGGAGAAUGAUCUAAAGGAGGAGUUAGGUUAUAUUGAGAAUGUAGGGAGGAAGCACGGAUAUACAGCAGGAUAUAUAUAAUAAAGUUAAGAACAGCUUAGUGCAACAGGAUAGAGAGGGCCAGAGGGAAGGUGAUUUCAUGUCGGUGCUGCACCAUUUGGCCAGACUGAAUGUUGUUAAAGAAAUAGCUCGGAAAAAUAAGAGAAAGGUAGUGUGUAGGAGGAAUCCGACCCUUUUUGGUGUUUUGAGAACUGAGAAGGAUAAAAAAGAACAAGAAGAAAAAAGAGGGAUCUAUAAAAUCCCGUUGGUGGAUAAUAACACGGAUGAAAGCCUAGCAUAUGUUGGGGUGACA